This 267-nucleotide ribosomal RNA is filed under the name uncultured bacterium. Its description in RNAcentral is "partial 16S ribosomal RNA". It matches the Rfam family "Bacterial small subunit ribosomal RNA", at positions 89 to 354 of the family's 1533-position model. The record is from RNAcentral.
CGGCGACCGGCGCACGGGUGAGUAACACGUAUGUAACCUGCCCUAUGCAGGGGGAUAACCCGGAGAAAUCCGGCCUAAUACCGCGUAACACCUUUUGGGAGCAUUCCCGGGAGGUUAAAGGAGAGAUCCGGCAUAGGAUGGACAUGCGUCGCAUUAGGUAGACGGCGGGGUAACGGCCCACCGUGCCGACGAUGCGUAGGAGUUCUGAGAGGAAGGCCCCCCACACUGGUACUGAGACACGGACCAGACUCCUACGGGAGGCAGCAG